CGGAGGAAAAGAAACUAACAAGGAUUCCCUAGUAACGGCGAGUGAAGCGGGAAGAGCUCAAAUUUGUAAUCUGGCACCUUCGGUGUCCGAGUUGUAAUCUCGAGAAGUGUUUUCCGCGCCGGACCGCAUACAAGUCUGUUGGAAUACAGCGUCAUAGUGGUGAGAACCCCGUAACUGAUGCGGAUGCCCGGUGCUUUGUGAUACACUUUCGAAGAGUCGAGUUGUUUGGGAAUGCAGCUCAAAUUGGGUGGUAAAUUCCAUCUAAAGCUAAAUAUUGGCGAGAGACCGAUAGCGAACAAGUACCGUGAGGGAAAGAUGAAAAGCACUUUGGAAAGAGAGUUAACAGUACGUGAAAUUGUUGGAAGGGAAACGCUUGAAGUCAGACUUGCUAUUUGGAAUUCAGCCGCAAGGUGUACUUUUCAAUUCGCAGGCCAGCAUCAGUUUUCGGGGGUGGAAAAGGGUAGAGAGAAGGUAGCAAUUUCGGUUGUGUUAUAGCUCUUUGCUGGAUUCAUCCUUGGGGACUGAGGAACGCAGCACGCUUUUUGCAAGGCUUUCGAGCUUUUCGUGCUUAGGAUGC
This 577-nucleotide ribosomal RNA is filed under the name Phenoliferia psychrophenolica. RNAcentral's name for it is "eukaryotic LSU rRNA". It matches the Rfam family "Eukaryotic large subunit ribosomal RNA", at positions 51 to 626 of the family's 3401-position model. Lineage: Eukaryota; Fungi; Basidiomycota; Microbotryomycetes; Kriegeriales; Kriegeriaceae. The record is from RNAcentral.